CGAACUGCGAUAAGUAAUGUGAAUUGCAGAAUUCAGUGAAUCAUCGAGUCUUCGAACGCACAUUGCGCCCCCUGGCAUUCCGGGGGGCAUGCCUGUCCGAGCGUCAUUGCUGCCCAUCAAGCCCGGCUUGUGUGUUGGGUCGUCGUCCCCCCCGGGGGACGGGCCCGAAAGGCAGCGGCGGCACCGUGUCCGGUCCUCGAGCGUAUGGGGCUUUGUCACCCGCUCGACUAGGGCCGGCCGGGCGCCAGCCGACGUCUCCAACCAUUUUUCUUCAGGUUGACCUCGGAUCAGGUAGGGAUACCCGCUGAACUUAAGC
This 316-nucleotide unclassified non-coding RNA is filed under the name plant metagenome. Its description in RNAcentral is "partial contains 5.8S ribosomal RNA, internal transcribed spacer 2, and large subunit ribosomal RNA". The stretch from base 1 to 106 matches the Rfam family "5.8S ribosomal RNA", at positions 49 to 154 of the family's 154-position model. The record is from RNAcentral.